This 460-nucleotide ribosomal RNA is filed under the name uncultured bacterium. RNAcentral's name for it is "partial 16S ribosomal RNA". It matches the Rfam family "Bacterial small subunit ribosomal RNA", at positions 338 to 795 of the family's 1533-position model. The record is from RNAcentral.
CCUACGGGUGGCAGCAGUGAGGAAUAUUGGUCAAUGGACGAGAGUCUGAACCAGCCAAGUAGCGUGAAGGAUGACUGCCCUCUGGGCUGUAAACUUCUUUUAUAUGGGAAUAAAAUGUUCCACGUGAGGGAUUUUGUAUGUACCAUAUGAAUAAGGAUCGGCUAACUCCGGUCCAGCCGCCGCGGUAAUACGGAGGGUCCGAGCGUUACCCGGAUUUAUUGGGUUUAAAGGGAGCGUAGGGGGAUUGUUAAGUCAGUUGUGAAAGUUUGCGGCUCAACCGUAAAAUUGCAGUUGAAACUGGCAGUCUUGAGUACAGUAGAGGUGAGCGGAAUUCGUGGUGUAGCGGUGAAAUGCGUAGAUAUCACGAAGAACUCCGAUUGCGAAGGCAGCUCACUGGACUGCAACUGACACUGAGGCUCGAAAGUGUGGGUAUCAAACAGGAUUAGAUACCCCUGUAGUC